UGAGGAGCAGGGGAUGCCCUGAAGUCUAAUUCCCAACCCACUCUAACACAGCCUGGCCAACUGUUGUUGAGUGUUUGACUGUUUCUCCUUCUGCUUUCCUUCUUCAUCUCUCAUUUCUGAGAUCAGCUACAAGAAGGAAGACAGUCAUUCAUUUACAUCCUACUGAGAAAAAAAUUCAAAAACACAGGAAAUCCCAAAGUCACCUCAGGAUAAAAGAGAGAUGAUUUAUAAACUCAUAAUCACCAGUUUUUGAUAUGUUUCAUCAUUAGUCAAGCUGAGAGAACAAAUUGGAAUCUAAGCGUCUGAAAGAUUGCAACUUUUGGAGUUCUCUGCAUAUUAGGUUAUGCACUUCUGCACCAAACUAGCACUCAGCAUUACAUCCAGGUCAAAGUCUGGCCUAUUUGUUUACAUACUGUUUACAUUAUGAUAGCAUUUGCUGGCAACCAUAUUGCAAAGAUGUUCUCCCCAUCAUUUGCUUGGCAUCUUUCCAUUUCUUCAUAUACUGUAUAUUUUCCAGUCCCUCUUCUAAUAAUUGAUUUAUUAUAAGUACCAUCAAAAAGAAUAACAGUGAUUCAUAUGACCUGCUGAGCCACCAGAAUGUGACAUAUUGUAUAUGAUUAUGCUUAAGUCACAGUGGUGUAAAUCACCACCCAGUCUCUAUUAUUUCAGCUGUUUCCUAGGAUUAGUGCACCUAGUUGUUAAUAAACUCCUUUUGCUUUUGCUGAGCUCCUCCCAAUAGAUAAGAUUAAAGAAUGGAAAUAUAUUCUGUACAAUGAAUACCAAUAUAGGUAUGCCUCCUUUUUAAAUUAGUUCAUUAUGCAGCAAUAAUAUUACAGUAUAUGAAACUAGUUCCUAAUUCAGAGCUGGAUACUUAUUUAUUGUUGGUAUUCAUCUUCAGCUCCCUUAUUACCAGUACCAUUAAAAUAUCAUAAAACUAGGAAGAAUUGCUAUACUUUAAUAUACUCCUUCAUUAGUGAACAUUAUCCAUCUGACACAUUUUGUAAACACCAGAGCUUCAUUGAACUGUUUAUUCAGGAUAACCUGGUCCCUCCAGGAAGGAGAAAAAAAAAAUCAAUACUAUUUACCUCCAUGAGGAAGGGGGAGAAAAGAAGAAAAAAUGUCAGUAUUUAUACUUUGAUAUGAUUUUGAAAUUUUUUUUAUGCAAAGGCUAGUUUGAUCAGAGGGCUGUGCUCUUGGCUCUAUUGUAAUUAAAGUCCCCUAAGCCAGUGAAUAUAUUAAAAUAAUUAUUAUUUGUUUUGCUUACUGUGCUUAAACUAUAUUUGUGUGUAUAUGCAAAUAUGUCUUAUUUUUAAUGUCUAAAUAUAUGCAAUUUAUAUAUUACUUCAUUAAAAUGUCUAAAGUA
Long non-coding RNA from Crotalus tigris (Tiger rattlesnake), 1363 nucleotides. RefSeq lists it as uncharacterized. Lineage: Eukaryota; Metazoa; Chordata; Lepidosauria; Squamata; Viperidae. The transcript is spliced from 4 exons. The record is from RefSeq and is a predicted model, not a curated record.